CCUUUGUCUGUCAAGGCCCCUGAGGGUUCUCCAUGAAGGAAAAUCAUGAAAUGUAAUGAUCACGAACAGAUCCUUCGAAUGGCAACAGACUCAGAAUGGAAAUACAUUUUCCAGGAUUCUGUUCACCCUGAUCAGUGACUCAGACCUUAGAAGAAUAUACAAUCACCAACAAGAUGCAAAAAACUCAGCCACUGCUCCAGUGGGUGGGAGAACUUGACACCAUGCCUGUGGUGCUGGCUUUGUGUCCAUGCAGAAUGGAGGAGUUGUUGCAUCAGGGAGCCUUCCAGUCAGAAGUUGCGGGUGUCAGGUGUUAUGUCUCAGUGACAAUAAAGUAGCAAGACAAGAAUCAAUAACGCCU
RNAcentral lists this long non-coding RNA (358 nucleotides) under Fukomys damarensis (Damara mole-rat). RNAcentral describes it as "lncRNA (ENSFDAG00000023395.1)". The record is from RNAcentral. Lineage: Eukaryota; Metazoa; Chordata; Mammalia; Rodentia; Bathyergidae.